AUGAAGCUCAAAGAUCGUCAUCGAAUUGCCACACAGAUCCGCGAUCUCAAAGCAAGAGUUGAAGAAGUAAGCAUCAGGAACACACGCUACAACUUGAUCAAGGCGGAGGCCUCCAACACCAUUGGUGACAUGGAUUCUCACAUGGAGGAUGUUCGCAAUCACUCGGCUAGCAACAUUGAUGAAGCAGAACUUGUUGGCUUUUCCAAACCGAAGAAGGAGUUAAUUAAGUUGAUGGAUGUCAAGACUAAAGAUGGCACAGCCAAGGUGGUAUUUGUUGUUGGCAUGGGUGGUUUAGGAAAGACUACUCUUGCCAGGAAGGCAUUUGAAAGUAAGGAAGAUAUUGUGAAUAAUUUUUCUUGCCGGGCUCGGAUCACAGUCUCGCAAACAUUUUCCAAGAUAGAGAUGCUAAAGGAUAUGAUCAUGCAAUUUUUUGAACUGAAGAAGUGUUUGAAGGAACUUGAGGGGAAGACGGUGCAAGUAGAUGAUCUCGCCAGCUACCUUAGGGAGAUGCUAAAGGAGAAGAGGUACUUUAUUGUUCUUGAUGACUUGUGGACCACUGAUGCAUGGGGGUGGAUCAAAGAUAUUGCUUUUCCUACUACUAACAUCAAAGGUAGCCGGAUAAUAGUAACAACACGAGAUAUUGGCCUAGCUCAGCAAUGUACUUCCAAAUCGCUUAUUUACCACCUUAAACACCUCCAGAUAGAUCAAGCAACAAAUUUGCUACUGAAAAAGAUUGGGAAAACACACAGAGAAACUGAAAGUGAUGAAAGGAUGCGGACUGUGAUUUCCAAAAUAGUAAAAAAGUGUGGUGGUUUACCACUAGCUAUACUCACCAUAGGAGGUUUGCUUGCUACCAAAGUGGUAGAAAUGUGGGAGAGUAUUUAUGAGCAGAUUCCAUCAGAGCUCGAGACUAACCCAAGCCUUGAAGCAAUGAGGAGGAUGGUCACUCUUAGUUACAGCCACUUGCCAUCUCAUCUUAAAUCAUGCUUCCUAUAUUUAAGCAUCUUUCCGGAGGAUUUUCAAAUCAGGAGAAGACGUUUGGUUGAUAGAUGGAUAGCAGAGGGGUUUGUUACAGCUAGUAGUGGAGUGAAUGUUGAGGAUGUUGGAAUAGGUUAUUUCAAUGAGCUAAUCAACCGAAACAUGAUUCAACCAUCAAAAGUGAACAUAGGAGUUGUUAAGAGCUGCCGGGUCCAUGAUAUCAUCCGUGAUGUAAUGGUCUCAAUUUCUAGAGAUGAAAACUUUGUGCACCUGGUGGGAGAUAGUGAAGCCAGUAUAAUAGAGGGGAAUUUCCGUCAUGUAGCAUACCAUGGUAGCAAGGGCCAAAAUAUUGGCAUGGAUUGGAGCCAUGUUCGGUCAUUAACAAUGUUUGGUAAGAGACCCAUGGAGCCCUCACCUUCAGUUUGUUCAGCCAACAUGAGGAUGCUUAGAGCCUUGGAUCUAAAGAAUACACGGUUUCAAAUUAUACAAAAAGAUAUCAACAACAUUGGGUUGUUGUGCCAUUUGAAAUAUGUGGAUUUUGAAGGACCUUCAAAUAUAUAUUCACUUCCAAAGUCUAUAAGGAAAUUACGAGGAUUACAAAGCUUAGACAUUAGAAAGAGUUAUAUAGCAGCACUACCAACUGAGAUCACAGAACUCCAUAGUCUCCGCAGCCUUCGCUGUAGCAGAUGGGCUUCGUACAGCUUUUUUGAUAUAGAUUACUCCAUGGACUGUCUGAUGCACACAUUGCGCCUGCCCAUAAUAUGCACACCUUCAGUUGAUGCUGAUCAUCGUGCUGAGUUUACUGCUGAGCUACAUAUGGCAUACUCUAGCCUGUGGUCCAAGACAGAAGGUGUGAGUGUUCCAAGAGGGAUCAGUAAAUUAAAGGAGCUACAGAUACUAGAGGUGGUGGAUAUCAAACAAACUAGCAAGAAGGCAGUUAAAGAGUUGGGGGAGCUUAUUCAGCUAAGAAAACUUAGCAUGGUAGCUAAAGGAAAAUUUGCCGAGCAAAAUCCCAAGAUACUAUAUCUGUGUGCCGCUAUAGAGAAGCUCUCGUCCCUGCGCUCUCUUAGUGUGGAUUUUGAUUAUGAUGCUGCCAAUGAUGGAUCACUGGAGUGGUUGCAUAAUAUUUCCUCCCCUCCUCCCCUGCUAAAGAAGUUGAAGUUGGUUGGGGAUUUUAAAGGAAAGAUGCCCGAGUGGGUUAGAUGUCUGAAGCAUCUGGUAAAGAUUCACUUGGAGUGGAGCCACCUGAAGGAAGAUCAGAUAACUGAAAUGCUAGGGGAGCUGCCCAAGCUCAUGCACCUCAGUCUGCGCACAUUUGCUUAUUAUGGGAAGAAGUUAGUGUUCAGAGCGAGAUCAUUUCUCAAUCUGAGGAAACUCUCCAUUCAGCAGCUGGGUAAACUGAGGGAGGUGAGAUUCGAGAAUGGCGCCUCGCCACAGAUGGAAAUGCUAGAAUUCAGUGUUUGCAAUUUGGAGUCAGGGAUUAUUGGUAUCAUUCACCUUCCAGUAUUCAAGCAGAUUUCACUUGGUUAUGAAGGCAGAGUGGCGAGGCUUGGUAUGCUGCAAGCUGAAGUGGACGCACACCCCAACCAUCCCGUGCUGCAAUUCAACAGAGACCGAAGGGAGCAUGAAGCAGAGGAGGCGACGAACCUCAGCCAAGACCAUGACAUAGGAGAUGACGAUUUCCUCUCUUGCAUUCUGAGGACGAAGAUGCUAGCUGAUCGAUGGUGCAAGUUUCUAGUUGCUGAUCAUCUGUCCUUGCUGUCUGGUCGUCGCUUUCGCUGGUACCCAUCUGUUCCUUUCUUUACAUCUAACUUCUCGCGCCGUUUGAUUGAUUUGUAG
This 2817-nucleotide ribosomal RNA is filed under the name Triticum aestivum (bread wheat). RNAcentral's name for it is "partial small subunit ribosomal RNA". The record is from RNAcentral. Lineage: Eukaryota; Viridiplantae; Streptophyta; Magnoliopsida; Poales; Poaceae.